Molecule: ribosomal RNA, 869 nt
Filed under: uncultured bacterium
Lineage: Bacteria
Description: bacterial SSU rRNA
Rfam family: Bacterial small subunit ribosomal RNA
Source: RNAcentral
GAUGAACGCUAGCGGCAGGCCUAAUACAUGCAAGACGAACGGUAAGUUGAGUAGCAAUACUUGACCUAGAGUGUCGCACGGGUGCGUAACACGUAUGCAACCUACCCAUAACAGGAGGAUAGCUCCCCGAAAGGGGAAUUAACCCUCCAUAGUAAUAUUGGAUGGCAUCAUUUGAUAUUUAAAACUGAGGUGGUUAUGGAUGGGCAUGCGUCUGAUUAGUUAGUUGGCGGUGUAACGGACCACCAAGACGAUGAUCCGUAGGGGAACUGAGAGGUUGAUCCCCCACACUGGCACUGAGAUACGGGCCAGACUCCUACGGGAGGCAGCAGUAGGGAAUAUUGGUCAAUGGAUGGAAGUCUGAACCAGCCAUGCCGCGUGCAGGAAGAAGGCCUUAUGGGUUGUAAACUGCUCUUGCCAGGGGAUAAAAUAGCUGUGCGCAGCGAAUUGCAGGUACCUGGUGAAUAAGCCACGGCUAACUACGUGCCAGCAGCCGCGGUAAUACGUAGGUGGCAAGCGUUGUCCGGAUUUAUUGGGUUUAAAGGGUGCGUAGGCGGCCUUGUAAGUCAGUGGUGAAAUACUCCAGCUUAACUGGAGGGGUGCCAUUGAUACUGCAGGGCUUGAGUAAAGUUGAAGUUGGCGGAAUUGACGGUGUAGCGGUGAAAUGCUUAGAUACCGUCAAGAACACCGAUAGUGAAGACAGCUAACUAAGCUUUAACUGACGCUGAGGCACGAAAGUGUGGGGAUCAAACAGGAUUAGAUACCCUGGUAGUCCACACUGUAAACGUUGAUGACUCGCUGUUGGCGAUACACUGCCAGCGGCCAAGCGCAAGCGAUAAGUCAUCCACCUGGGGAGUACGCCGGCAACGGUG